Halichondria panicea is the source of this 2510-nucleotide long non-coding RNA. RefSeq lists it as uncharacterized. Lineage: Eukaryota; Metazoa; Porifera; Demospongiae; Suberitida; Halichondriidae. The record is from RefSeq and is a predicted model, not a curated record. The transcript is spliced from 3 exons.
GCUUUUCCCAAUUAUGCUAAAAAAUUUGCCUAUUAUGCUAUUCUUUUAUGCCAGGAAGGUCCACCUAUUAUUCUUCGACUGUUAGUAUGUUACCUAUUAUUCUUUGACUGUCACCUAUUAUUCCAAUAGAUUUUUCGGAAAAUGAAUCAUUAAAAAAGUGUGUGAGACAGUGUUUACAAAAAGAAAAAGCUAUUUUCUGUUAUUAUAUUGUAGCAUUACAGAUGCACAUAAUUAUAUAGUCUUGAAGAGAAUGGGUUUGUUUCUUAUUAAAAGAACUUUCCAAAAUAGAGAAAACUCUUUCGUGACGACUCAUCAUUUUCCUCAGCAGUAAGCAUGCGCAGUAGAUGACCCUGCCCACAUUUCCAUUGAAUGACAUCACUUACCACGGCCCUUUAUGUUAAACCACGCCUCUUUAAGUAAAACCACACCUCCAAAUUUAUUUUGUUCACCUGGAAUAAUGCUCAAUGCUAAUGGAGCUCAAAAUGGUCCCUAUUAUUCCAAAAUUAUGCCAGCAUAAUUGGGAAAAGCCUACAUAAGAACUACCUGUCCAUUUUCUUGAUCAUGGGUGCAGCACAAAAGAAUCACGGGAGAUGUCAGAAUAGAGAAGAUCACAGUGGCAAUAAUUGUCCAAAUGAUGCAGCAUGAAAGUUGGUCAAUGUAAACAGUAUAGUUGCAUCCAUAAUUAUGACUCAGAAGCAUACAGUACAGUUCGAUUUUGGUCUGGUUGUCGAAUGUUGAAAUCAAUUUGAUGGCUGAUAGGGUUCACAGCUAUCCAUCUCUCAUUCUCUCCCUCUGCCCGGGGAGGAACACACACUAUGGCUCUGAGACCAUCCUUAGCUGCAGCAAAAUGGUCUGGAGCUGUAAUCUGGCUUAACGCUAACUACAUUCUCUUUUAUUCCUCAGUUAGAAUCCGAGUAGCUACAGAUGACUCUGUUGAUCUCCAUUGGCUCAUCCUAACUUAAAAUAAUUAUGGUUCGACACCAAGCGUUUCCACUAAUUUCAAUGUCAUGAGCCAAAAAUCCCGGUGUAAUUUCCUGUUUACAAUGUAGGCACAAACUUACAAUGCUACAUUAUAUGAGAUUUCCUGUUUGAGAUAAUAAGGAAAGUUUUUGGGAUUUAUUUGGGUUUAACUUAUAUAUACACUAAGCCCAGCAGCGUGUUUUAAUAGCAUAGUUUCCUGUUUAUAUAAUUUAGGUACAAGAUCAAAUAACAUAUAGUAAGUUGUAGAUAAAACAUUUACUCUGUUUCCGAAUAUUUUGCUGGUGAAAAACCUUGAGUCAAAUUGCAAAGAUCGUGUGUAAUUACCAGUACUAUAUAUGAUUAAGGUUUGCGAAUUGAUCAAUGCUCGCAACAUUUGCAUAAUUAUAUUUGAUGCUAUGCUCAAGAACAGUUCUACAUUCAUAGAAAUGCUCCUUAAGUGUUGGUAAACUAAAGUACUCUCUGUUGUAACUCUAUAUACUAUCAGUUGCCAGACAAAUGGGGGAUGGGGGAUCGAUGAGGGAUGGGAAUUGGCACCUACAUGUACUUGUAUACUUAAUACUGUCAAUACAGCUGUUCUUGUGGCUCCCCUCCUGCGAUUUUGAAUGGAUCCUCUACCUACCUGCUGAAAUAUUCACAUGUGUGGAGACUGUGACCUACAUAUGAUACUGGCUAUGAGGUGAAGUUGGGAUCAGCUAUUGUGAUCUCUUUACCAUGCAGCUUGUACAGGUUCUAAUUUUGUAAAUACUUACAUCUAAGUUUUUAUAACUUCCAAUUUAUCCAUUGACUUCUAUACAUUUGGGGAAAUGGCCAUGAUAUUGGUUUCAUUCUGACUGGUUUACAAACAUGGGAGCCUGUUUGCAUUGCAGUUGUCUCUUGUGGAGCACCUCAAAUAGUUAAAGAAGGAUGUAGUAAUUUCAUUGGCACCACAUUUGGAGAGACAGCUACUUACAGCUGCGAUAAUGGCUACUAUAUUUCUGGUUUCAACCGUAGUAAUCUGUCGGGCAGAUGGGAAAUGGGAUACUGAGCCUGAGUGCUUGCUUGCAGCUUUCUCGUGUGGUUUUCCUCCCAUUAUCUUCAAUGGAUCCCCUGGUAGACCAACUUCCGUACUAACUGGUGGAACAACUACAUAUACUUGCGAUCAUGGAUUCAUCCUAAUCGGCUUGAGCAAAGUUACUUGUUUGUCGACUAGUAUGUGGACAACACCACCUAAAUUCCAAAGUAUAUACGAAUACCAAACAAUGAAAGUUUGAUGAAAAGCAUUGAAGAAUGCAAUUAAAAUUGAGUGCAUGUACUAAUUGCAUCAACAUCUAUACACACUCAGGUCCUCCCCCUGUUUACUUAUCGCUUUUCUCCGCUUGUCUACUUUCCCGGAAAUCCCCCUAUCCUCUGUAGGAGAGGGGAAGAAUAAUUCCCUUGUCUGUCAUACUGACCUGGCCGCUUGUUGCUCACAGCUGGAUUCAGGAGUGGAGGGUGGUCUAGGAGAGUGGCAUUAUCCAAACGGGACAGUUGUAGUGACAGAUAAACUACGG